Molecule: transfer RNA, 45 nt
Filed under: Pagastia orientalis
Lineage: Eukaryota; Metazoa; Arthropoda; Insecta; Diptera; Chironomidae
Description: partial tRNA-Leu
Source: RNAcentral
CAUAUAUAAAGUUUAUUACUUUUGUUAGAAAAUAUAUUAAAUAAA